CUGCCCGCCAAGCUCACGGCGCGAUCGACGGCCUCGAGGCCUUCGUCGCUGGCGCGCGUGGGGCACCCGCUGGGGCACGGCGGUGGUGGCGGCCGAGCACAGGGGAGCUCCCCAUCCCAUCCACUGUCUUCCGCUUCGCCUAGCUCGCCCUCCGCUGCUCUGCCCGCGGCCGCGCUCGCCCUCCGCUGCUUUGCCCACUGCUGCGCUCGCCCGCCGCCGCUCCUCCGCCGCGCUCGCAUAUUGUGUGAACUCGAGAACUUGGAGGUCGUCACGGCGGACGACGGCGGCGGUGGCGGUGGCAACACCGUGCAUGGCGACAAGGCUCCCGUUGACGGCAAAGGAGAGGCAGCGACUCCGGCGAAACGCGCCGACGUAUCAGGUGGCCAAGAAUGCGGCGUGGAGGAUGUACAGCGGGUGGAGACGCCAGCUGCAGAGAUCACGAAUGCCAUGAAGGACACGGAGAUCGUGAAGAACAAGGACCAGGAGAGAGGAGGCAGCGAGAGGGAAGAAGAGGAGACCGUCGCCAUGGCCGGCACGGGGAGCAGGGAGGAAGCAUUGCUGGUUCUCUUCGAUACAGCAUGGCAACAGGGGAACCUCCUUACCGGCGGGAGCGGCGGGACGGCGGGUGCGCUUGCACUAACUCGUGGUCGCGGCGGGUCAGGGAGGCAGGCGACGCCGCCGGUCGCUGGGCUGCGGCGGCGGAUGGAGAUUGGAGUCGCGUCGUCGGUAACCGACGGCGGGCGCGGGCGGCGAAGGGCGGCGGAGGAAAAGGGGAGAGAAUGACAUGUGGGGC
RNAcentral lists this long non-coding RNA (793 nucleotides) under Oryza sativa Indica Group (long-grained rice). RNAcentral describes it as "lncRNA OsMH63_11G024430". Lineage: Eukaryota; Viridiplantae; Streptophyta; Magnoliopsida; Poales; Poaceae. The record is from RNAcentral. RNAcentral also lists the same sequence under 1 other name.